UGGGGAAUUUUGGACAAUGGGCGCAAGCCUGAUCCAGCCAUUCCGCGUGCAGGACGAAGGCCUUCGGGUUGUAAACUGCUUUUGUACGGAACGAAAAGCCCUUCUCUAAUACAGAGGGGUCAUGACGGUACCGUAAGAAUAAGCACCGGCUAACUACGUGCCAGCAGCCGCGGUAAUACGUAGGGUGCAAGCGUUAAUCGGAAUUACUGGGCGUAAAGCGUGCGCAGGCGGUGAUGUAAGACAGAUGUGAAAUCCCCGGGCUCAACCUGGGAACUGCAUUUGUGACAGCAUCGCUGGAGUGCGGCAGAGGGGGAUGGAAUUCCGCGUGUAGCAGUGAAAUGCGUAGAUAUGCGGAGGAACACCGAUGGCGAAGGCAAUCCCCUGGGCCUGCACUGACGCUCAUGCACGAAAGCGUGGGGAGCAAACA
This 427-nucleotide ribosomal RNA is filed under the name uncultured bacterium. Its description in RNAcentral is "bacterial SSU rRNA". It matches the Rfam family "Bacterial small subunit ribosomal RNA", at positions 355 to 774 of the family's 1533-position model. The record is from RNAcentral.